AUAAUGAGACAUUUCAUGUCGGUUUUGUUUAAUUUUAUAAGAAGAGACAUUAUUGAGCGAGUUUUCUUUUUGGGUUCCUGCAUGAACAAUGGCAAAUUGUGGGAACUUUACAUAUCGCUUCUCUCAGACUCUGAGCACUUCUAUAAAGCUACACUUUCUGACCAAGACACUAGUCUGACUCUUUGGUUCGGCCAUUUCCAACCAGCACCAGUUGCUGGACCACUUGCUUCUCCAUCUUAAUGAAGCCACAAAUGAACACAUUCUCCUCAAAGCUUCCUCUCAAAUUUUUGCAAAAUAUUUGAAAACCAUUUUCUUGUUUUCCUAUUAAAAUUUGUAAUAUAUAGUAAACUUUUAACAGUAAUAAAGAAAAAAGAUUAGUAAGUUCUCUUUUUUAAUUCAUAUA
Long non-coding RNA from Arabidopsis thaliana (thale cress), 403 nucleotides. RefSeq annotates it as other RNA. Lineage: Eukaryota; Viridiplantae; Streptophyta; Magnoliopsida; Brassicales; Brassicaceae. The transcript has a single exon. The record is from RefSeq.